GAUUAACGCUGGCGGCGUGCUUAACACAUGCAAGUCGAACGGUAAGGCCCUUCGGGGUACACGAGUGGCGAACGGGUGAGUAACACGUGGGUGAUCUGCCCUGCACUUCGGGAUAAGCCUGGGAAACUGGGUCUAAUACCGGAUAGGACCACUGCCUGCAUGGGUGGUGGUGGAAAGCUUUUGCGGUGUGGGAUGGGCCCGCGGCCUAUCAGCUUGUUGGUGGGGUGAUGGCCUACCAAGGCGACGACGGGUCGCCGGCCUGAGAGGGUGACCGGCCACACUGGGACUGAGAUACGGCCCAGACUCCUACGGGAGGCAGCGGUGGGGAAUAUUGCACAAUGGGCGCAAGCCUGAUGCAGCGACGCCGCGUGAGGGAUGACGGCCUUCGGGUUGUAAACCUCUUUCAGCACCGACGAAGCGCAAGUGACGGUAGGUGCAGAAGAAGGACCGGCCAACUACGUGCCAGCAGCCGCCGUAA
RNAcentral lists this ribosomal RNA (478 nucleotides) under uncultured bacterium. RNAcentral describes it as "partial 16S ribosomal RNA". It matches the Rfam family "Bacterial small subunit ribosomal RNA", at positions 28 to 523 of the family's 1533-position model. The record is from RNAcentral.